UGCAAGUCGAGCGAACAGAUAAGGAGCUUGCUCCUUUGACGUUAGCGGCGGACGGGUGAGUAACACGUGGGUAACCUACCUAUAAGACUGGAAUAACUCCGGGAAACCGGGGCUAAUGCCGGAUAACAUUUAGAACCGCAUGGUUCUAAAGUGAAAGAUGGUUUUGCUAUCACUUAUAGAUGGACCCGCGCCGUAUUAGCUAGUUGGUAAGGUAACGGCUUACCAAGGCAACGAUACGUAGCCGACCUGAGAGGGUGAUCGGCCACACUGGAACUGAGACACGGUCCAGACUCCUACGGGAGGCAGCAGUAGGGAAUCUUCCGCAAUGGGCGAAAGCCUGACGGAGCAACGCCGCGUGAGUGAUGAAGGGUUUCGGCUCGUAAAACUCUGUUAUUAGGGAAGAACAAACGUGUAAGUAACUGUGCACGUCUUGACGGUACCUAAUCAGAAAGCCACGGCUAACUACGUGCCAGCAGCCGCGGUAAUACGUAGGUGGCAAGCGUUAUCCGGAAUUAUUGGGCGUAAAGCGCGCGUAGGCGGUUUCUUAAGUCUGAUGUGAAAGCCCACGGCUCAACCGUGGAGGGUCAUUGGAAACUGGGAGACUUGAGUGCAGAAGAGGAAAGUGGAAUUCCAUGUGUAGCGGUGAAAUGCGCAGAGAUAUGGAGGAACACCAGUGGCGAAGGCGACUUUCUGGUCUGUAACUGACGCUGAUGUGCGAAAGCGUGGGG
Molecule: ribosomal RNA, 728 nt
Filed under: Staphylococcus sp. Pazkelik9
Lineage: Bacteria; Bacillati; Bacillota; Bacilli; Caryophanales; Staphylococcaceae
Description: bacterial SSU rRNA
Rfam family: Bacterial small subunit ribosomal RNA
Source: RNAcentral